GUGCCAGCCGCCGCGGUAAAACGUAGGACGCAAGCGUUAUCCGGAGUUACUGGGCGUAAAGGGCAGGCAGGCGGGUCGAUAAGUCGGAUGUGAAAUCUCCCUGGCUUAACCGGGAGAGUGCAUUUGAGACUGUCAACCUGGAGGGCAGCAGAGGAGCGUGGAAUUCCGGGUGGAGUGGUGAAAUGCGUAGAGAUCCGGAGGAACACCAGAGGCGAAAGCGGCGCUCUGGGCUGCACCUGACGCUGAACUGCGAAAGCCAGGGGAGCGAACGGGAUUAGAAACCCCUGUAGUCC
RNAcentral lists this ribosomal RNA (293 nucleotides) under uncultured bacterium. Its description in RNAcentral is "partial 16S ribosomal RNA". It matches the Rfam family "Bacterial small subunit ribosomal RNA", at positions 505 to 796 of the family's 1533-position model. The record is from RNAcentral.